Molecule: non-coding RNA, 124 nt
Organism: Acanthosepion pharaonis
Lineage: Eukaryota; Metazoa; Mollusca; Cephalopoda; Sepiida; Sepiidae
Source: the annotation of a GenBank genome assembly
UCCGGCCAUAUAAUGUUGAAACACCGCUUUUCGUACGAUCACCGAAGUUUUAGCAACAUUAAGCAACAUUGAGCCUGGUUAGUACCUAAAUGGGUGAACACUUGGGAAUACCAGGUGCUGUAAG